GACGAACCGAGCGAACGUUAUUCGGAAUCACUGGGCUUAAAGGGCGCGUAGGCGGGCCUGAAAGUCAGGGGUGAAAGCCCCCAGCUCAACUGGGGAAGUGCCUCUGAUACUGCGGGCCUCGAGGGAGGUAGGGGCGUGCGGAACUUCCGGUGGAGCGGUGAAAUGCGUAGAUAUCGGAAGGAACACCGGUGGCGAAAGCGGCGCGCUGGACCUCUUCUGACGCUGAGGCGCGAAAGCCAGGGGAGCGAACGGG
RNAcentral lists this ribosomal RNA (253 nucleotides) under uncultured bacterium. RNAcentral describes it as "partial 16S ribosomal RNA". It matches the Rfam family "Bacterial small subunit ribosomal RNA", at positions 524 to 776 of the family's 1533-position model. The record is from RNAcentral.